GCCGGGCAUGGUGGUGCAUGCCUGUAAUCCCAGCUACUUGGGAGGCUGAGGCAGGAGAAUCGCUUGAACCCAGGAGGCAGAGGUUGCAGUGAGCUGAGAUCAUGCCACUGCACUCCAACCUGGGUGACAGAGUGAGACUCCAUCUCAA
Papio anubis (olive baboon) is the source of this 148-nucleotide unclassified non-coding RNA. It matches the Rfam family "Metazoan signal recognition particle RNA". From Rfam's summary of the family: The signal recognition particle (SRP) is a universally conserved ribonucleoprotein. It is involved in the co-translational targeting of proteins to membranes. The record is from Ensembl. Lineage: Eukaryota; Metazoa; Chordata; Mammalia; Primates; Cercopithecidae.